RNAcentral lists this transfer RNA (73 nucleotides) under Thioploca sp. Its description in RNAcentral is "tRNA-Ala". It matches the Rfam family "tRNA". From Rfam's summary of the family: Transfer RNA (tRNA) molecules are approximately 80 nucleotides in length. Their secondary structure includes four short double-helical elements and three loops (D, anti-codon, and T loops). Lineage: Bacteria; Pseudomonadati; Pseudomonadota; Gammaproteobacteria; Thiotrichales; Thiotrichaceae. The record is from RNAcentral.
GGGGCUAUAGCUCAGCUGGGAGAGUGCUUGCAUGGCAUGCAAGAGGUCGGCGGUUCGAUCCCGCCUAGCUCCA